GCUCUGGUAGCACAAUGGUUAAAGCACUCAUUUGCUAACUGAAAGGUUGGUGGUUCAAACCCACCCGGAAGUU
This 73-nucleotide transfer RNA is filed under the name Loxodonta africana (African savanna elephant). It matches the Rfam family "tRNA". From Rfam's summary of the family: Transfer RNA (tRNA) molecules are approximately 80 nucleotides in length. Their secondary structure includes four short double-helical elements and three loops (D, anti-codon, and T loops). Further hydrogen bonds mediate the characteristic L-shaped molecular structure. tRNAs have two regions of fundamental functional importance: the anti-codon, which is responsible for specific mRNA codon recognition, and the 3' end, to which the tRNAs corresponding amino acid is attached (by aminoacyl-tRNA synthetases). tRNAs cope with the degeneracy of the genetic code in two manners: having more than one tRNA (with a specific anti-codon) for a particular amino acid; and 'wobble' base-pairing, i.e. permitting non-standard base-pairing at the 3rd anti-codon position. The record is from Rfam by way of RNAcentral. Lineage: Eukaryota; Metazoa; Chordata; Mammalia; Proboscidea; Elephantidae.